This 399-nucleotide ribosomal RNA is filed under the name Triticum aestivum (bread wheat). Its description in RNAcentral is "partial small subunit ribosomal RNA". The record is from RNAcentral. Lineage: Eukaryota; Viridiplantae; Streptophyta; Magnoliopsida; Poales; Poaceae.
AUGGAAGAGCCCCCCAGCAACAAGCGCCGCAACUACGACCACUACCAUCAGGAGGAUGGCCCAACCCACUUCUGCAAGGUCAUCCUUGCACCGAAGCUUGAGUGCAUCCCCAUUCCCUUGGACUUCACCAAGCACUUCGUCGCGGUGCCGACGGAGUUCAAGCUCAGGAACAACACCGGCUGCUCUUGGAAGGUGACAGUCAAGCUGAUGAGCGACAGGGUGACCCUGGAUCAGGGUUGGGCCACCUACGCAGGCGUUCAUCAGAUCAAGAUCGGCUACAUGGUGACAUUCAAGCUCCUCACUCCCGACACGCUCAAGGUCAUCAUCUUCGACGACGAUGGCAUUGAGGUCGUCAACAAGUUCGGGAAGCAUGACGAAGCCUUCGCCGCCAAGGAGUAG